UUGGUUGGGGGCUGGAGGGGUCG
This 23-nucleotide small nuclear RNA is filed under the name Arabidopsis thaliana (thale cress). RNAcentral describes it as "snRNA_18790". The record is from RNAcentral. Lineage: Eukaryota; Viridiplantae; Streptophyta; Magnoliopsida; Brassicales; Brassicaceae.